CGGCAGGUACUCAAGUAGUCAACGAGAUGGCGCUGUAAACGCCACGGCUUAGCCUUCGUGGGUGCAAAUCCUACCCUGCCGA
Molecule: transfer RNA, 82 nt
Filed under: Caudoviricetes sp.
Lineage: Duplodnaviria; Heunggongvirae; Uroviricota; Caudoviricetes
Description: tRNA-Tyr
Rfam family: tRNA
About the family: Transfer RNA (tRNA) molecules are approximately 80 nucleotides in length. Their secondary structure includes four short double-helical elements and three loops (D, anti-codon, and T loops). Further hydrogen bonds mediate the characteristic L-shaped molecular structure. tRNAs have two regions of fundamental functional importance: the anti-codon, which is responsible for specific mRNA codon recognition, and the 3' end, to which the tRNAs corresponding amino acid is attached (by aminoacyl-tRNA synthetases). tRNAs cope with the degeneracy of the genetic code in two manners: having more than one tRNA (with a specific anti-codon) for a particular amino acid; and 'wobble' base-pairing, i.e. permitting non-standard base-pairing at the 3rd anti-codon position.
Source: RNAcentral